GGCGAACGGGUGAGUAACACGUGGGCAAUCUGCCCUGCACUCUGGGACAAGCCCUGGAAACGGGGUCUAAUACCGGAUAUGACCACUAGGGGCAUCCCUUGGUGGUGUAAAGCUCCGGCGGUGCAGGAUGAGCCCGCGGCCUAUCAGCUUGUUGGUGAGGUAACGGCUCACCAAGGCGACGACGGGUAGCCGGCCUGAGAGGGCGACCGGCCACACUGGGACUGAGACACGGCCCAGACUCCUACGGGAGGCAGCAGUGGGGAAUAUUGCACAAUGGGCGAAAGCCUGAUGCAGCGACGCCGCGUGAGGGAUGACGGCCUUCGGGUUGUAAACCUCUUUCAGCAGGGAAGAAGCGAAAGUGACGGUACCUGCAGAAGAAGCGCCGGCUAACUACGUGCCAGCAGCCGCGGUAAUACGUAGGGCGCAAGCGUUGUCCGGAAUUAUUGGGCGUAAAGAGCUCGUAGGCGGCUUGUCACGUCGGUUGUGAAAGCCCGGGGCUUAACCCCGGGUCUGCAGUCGAUACGGGCAGGCUAAAGUUCGGUA
This 543-nucleotide ribosomal RNA is filed under the name Streptomyces sp. MWW159. RNAcentral's name for it is "bacterial SSU rRNA". It matches the Rfam family "Bacterial small subunit ribosomal RNA", at positions 97 to 653 of the family's 1533-position model. Lineage: Bacteria; Bacillati; Actinomycetota; Actinomycetes; Kitasatosporales; Streptomycetaceae. The record is from RNAcentral.